Long non-coding RNA from Bombina bombina (fire-bellied toad), 220 nucleotides. RefSeq lists it as uncharacterized. The transcript is spliced from 2 exons. NCBI's taxonomy places the organism in Eukaryota, Metazoa, Chordata, Amphibia, Anura, Bombinatoridae. The record is from RefSeq and is a predicted model, not a curated record.
CCUAUCUACUCAAGAGAAAAACAGAAGACGUGAGAACAACCUAUGUUUAUAUUGUGCCUCAGACGAGCAUACAGUGAGAGAGUGUCCUUCUUUGCAGAAACAACGAAAGGUGGGAUCUCCUACGAGUCAACGUUCCAGCCAUUAUUGACUCUGGUGCUACAGCAUGUUAUAUAGAUAAGGAAUUCACUUAUAAAAAUAAAAUACCACUGGUGCAGAAAAA